UCGGUGAAGAGACAAGAAAGAAAUAAUCGUCGCACACUUAGUCGGUAGGGAGACGAAGAAGAGGAUUAGUCGGCUAAGCGACGAGGUUCUAUCCCAACACUUACCCUCCAACUCUUGAGUCCGAUUAGAUCCUCUCUCCUUCGAGAGGCGUCUUUUGGACCAAAGCCCAAGGGACAAAGGUGUGAGGCCUGACAGCUGCAAACGUACCAGCUACGGUCCAAAGGCCGCAAGUUUAUAAGCUACAGCAUGCACACGAUCAAAAUGGAUAAUACCUCUUACUGGGAUGAGCUCUCUGUCCAUAUGAGCUCUAGAGUCUCUUGACCAGAAUAAUAUCUAAAUAAUUUUAAAAUCAAUUUAUAUAUUUAUUUUUUUUGAUCAUUUUAUCAUUUAAAAAUAGUUUUUGGAUUUGUUAACCAAACAUACA
Molecule: long non-coding RNA, 424 nt
Filed under: Elaeis guineensis (African oil palm)
Lineage: Eukaryota; Viridiplantae; Streptophyta; Magnoliopsida; Arecales; Arecaceae
Description: long non-coding RNA (EGUI_LNC016007)
Source: RNAcentral